UUGAACGCUGGCGGCAGGCCUCACACCCGCCAGUCGAGCGGAUGAAGGGAGCUUGCUCCUGGAUUCAGCGGCGGACGGGUGAGUAAUGCCUAGGAAUCUGCCUGGUAGUGGGGGAUAACGUCCGGAAACGGGCGCUAAUACCGCAUACGUCCUGAGGGAGAAAGUGGGGGAUCUUCGGACCUCACGCUAUCAGAUGAGCCUAGGUCGGAUUAGCUAGUUGGUGGGGUAAAGGCCUACCAAGGCGACGAUCCGUAACUGGUCUGAGAGGAUGAUCAGUCACACUGGAACUGAGACACGGUCCAGACUCCUACGGGAGGCAGCAGUGGGGAAUAUUGGACAAUGGGCGAAAGCCUGAUCCAGCCAUGCCGCGUGUGUGAAGAAAGUCUUCGGAUUGUAAAGCACUUUAAGUUGGGAGGAAGGGCAGUAAGUUAAUACCUUGCUGUUUUGACGUUACCAACAGAAUAAGCACCGGCUAACUUCGUG
RNAcentral lists this ribosomal RNA (483 nucleotides) under uncultured bacterium. RNAcentral describes it as "partial 16S ribosomal RNA". It matches the Rfam family "Bacterial small subunit ribosomal RNA", at positions 30 to 507 of the family's 1533-position model. The record is from RNAcentral.